UUUCCGUAGGUGAACCUGCGGAAGGAUCAUUAUUGAAACUUCAUACGGGGCGCCGCGGCCCUCAGCACCGGUGGAAACGCCGUGCUGCGGGGACCGCGCGUGCACUCGUCCAAACCAAACCCCUGUGAACCUUACGGGAUGGCCCGGGUUAGCGCCCGGUGCCGUUCCGCUUUAUACAAACACUUAUCAAAGAAUGAACUGAAGGCGGUCUGACCGCUGGAUAACAAACUGAAACAACUUUCAACAACGGAUCUCUUGGCUCUC
This 264-nucleotide unclassified non-coding RNA is filed under the name plant metagenome. RNAcentral describes it as "partial contains small subunit ribosomal RNA, internal transcribed spacer 1, and 5.8S ribosomal RNA". The record is from RNAcentral.